GGCCCCAUCGUCUAGCGGUUAGGACGCAGCCCUCUCACGGCUGAAACCGGGGUUCGAGUCCCCGUGGGGUCACCA
This 75-nucleotide transfer RNA is filed under the name Geminicoccaceae bacterium. Its description in RNAcentral is "tRNA-Glu". It matches the Rfam family "tRNA". Rfam says of the family: Transfer RNA (tRNA) molecules are approximately 80 nucleotides in length. Their secondary structure includes four short double-helical elements and three loops (D, anti-codon, and T loops). Lineage: Bacteria; Pseudomonadati; Pseudomonadota; Alphaproteobacteria; Geminicoccales; Geminicoccaceae. The record is from RNAcentral.